Molecule: long non-coding RNA, 1959 nt
Organism: Gasterosteus aculeatus (three-spined stickleback)
Lineage: Eukaryota; Metazoa; Chordata; Actinopteri; Perciformes; Gasterosteidae
Source: Ensembl
AUGACUGUGGAGGGAGGGGGGGGAGGGGGGGGAGAGGAAAAAAGAGGUGUGGCCUCCCCCCCCCCCCCCCCCAGCCGUUUAAAAGCAGGAGGUGGUCGUGCCGGCGUCCACUCGGUGACGUGCAGGCGAGCAGACAUGACGGCUGUGAGAGAACUGGUGCUGGUACUGGGCUUACUGGUGAGCGCCCACUGUGAGGUCAGAGCACGGGACCCCGAGGUGGAGGAGGACGAGGAGGAGUUGGGGGCAAAAGGAGGAGGCGGAGGAGGAGCAGCAGCGUCUCACCCCAUCUUCGAGGGGCUUCACCCGAGGGCGUCCGAGACGUCUCCUUUGGGAGACAGAGGGAACCACCCAGCCCGGACCGGGUCAAAGGUGAAGGUUGCUGUGAUCUCACGUCCGUCACAUCCUCGUAAACGUCCUCUCUCAGCAAGGCCUUCAGCGAGCAUCCUCUGGCACAACCGAGAGGUACUUCUGCUGUGACUCGAACCUCCUAAGCUCCUAAAAGAACACAACAACCAUCACAUUGCAGCCGUCACCUCGUCACAUUUCAGGUGUCAUUGUUGUGAGUUCAGCUGAAGAGGAAUGACGCCGCUGAACUUCUCACAUGGUUUCGUUUCAACAUUCAAAGACUCGAGAGGAGUCCAGAAACUGAAAACAGAUUUGACUAUCAGAACUUUCUCCUCGGUUCCUCUCUCAUCCAUCAUCUCAUGACCCUUCGGAUUUAUCUGCUGACCCUUUGCAUGGGCCUGAACACAUGUUGUGUUGUGCAGGUUGUGAGGGACGUGAGUUUGAUGGUCGAAGCAUAAAUCGUGGUCGUUAUAUUUUAGCUAUUAGCUUCAAAAGUACCACUUUAGAAUAAUGUGUUCAUUACUUUAAUGUUGAGCUCAUAUGAUUACUUUAAACGUUGCUGGGUAGUUUAUACAUAACAGCAAUCAUCAUGUGUGAGUAUUCAUCUCAAUUUAGACGUAGUUUUAACAAAAUGUAGCGCAGUUAAAAGAACAGUAUUUCUUCCCAAAAUGUCAUAGUUAAAUAUAGUUUAAAGGUACUUUAGAGAAGUUCAGUACUUUAAACAAAUGUACUUGAAUACCUUUCAGCACAUUAUUCUAAUGUUCAACUACAACUAAUAUUCAAAUGCACUUUCCAAAAAUAGUAAAAUGCUAAAUACUCAAAUAGUCCAGAUGAAGUUAGAACUUCACACACGCGCAGUCCUUCCUGUACGAAGCAGGGAGAGCUUAAAUGUUUUGACUGCCAACAUGCUUAUAAUAGGCUGGUACCACCCAGGCUGCUGCUGACACACACACACACACACACCCACACACACACACACACACACACAUCGGACCCAGACGCCAUACAUUCAUUUUAUGAUUUCAUGAGUCUCAGGCAGACUGCAGGUGUCCUCGUUGCGUUUGUCCUCCAGGUAUCAUUACAAAUUACAAACACGUGUCAUACCUGUACAAGGACGGUGUUUACCAAUAAAACACUAAAUAAUCCUCAGACAAUAAGGAACAACGGAGCUGAGUACUUCUUCUUACACUUACACUUAUACACUUAUACUUGAGCUGGCUUUGGUUUCGGUGAUUCAUUCUUCACCACAGACCAGCGUUGUUAUGGUUACGUCUUCAAGAGACGGCAGGAUAACGUCGCUUCAGAGGAAAUCACCGACUCCACCUGCAUGCACUCUACGUCUGCAGCCUCUCGGGUCAAUGUGUUGCAGAGAUGGCUGAAGACUUAAAGGUUCCGUAAAAACGAGAACACCAAGUAAAAUAAAUAUAAAAUGAGCUGGUUGGUGAAGUGACGUGUUGCAUUGAUGUGUUUCUGAGACCAAACGAGGCCUCCGUCGUCGUUCUUACCCACAUCCAUGCGUUAGACUGCAGGGCUCGUGCGCAGAUUUGCUGAUAAAAUGAUCCCUGAGGGUUCUUAACAAAACAACCCUCCAUUAGCCCCCCCCCCCCCCCCCCC